This 495-nucleotide ribosomal RNA is filed under the name uncultured bacterium. Its description in RNAcentral is "bacterial SSU rRNA". It matches the Rfam family "Bacterial small subunit ribosomal RNA", at positions 30 to 521 of the family's 1533-position model. The record is from RNAcentral.
AUUGAACGCUGGCGGAAUGCUUUACACAUGCAAGUCGAACGGUAGAGGGGGCAACCCCUUGAGAGUGGCGAACGGGUGAGUAAUAUAUCGGAACGUGCCCAGUCGUGGGGAUAACGUAGCGAAAGUUACGCUAAUACCGCAUACGAUCUAAGGAUGAAAGCGGGGGACUCGCAAGAGCCUCGCGCGAUUGGAGCGGCCGAUAUCAGAUUAGGUAGUUGGUGGGGUAAAGGCUCACCAAGCCAACGAUCUGUAGCUGGUCUGAGAGGACGACCAGCCACACUGGAACUGAGACACGGUCCAGACUCCUACGGGAGGCAGCAGUGGGGAAUUUUGGACAAUGGACGCAAGUCUGAUCCAGCCAUUCCGCGUGCAGGAUGAAGGCCCUCGGGUUGUAAACUGCUUUUGUACGGAACGAAAGGUUUCUAUUAAUACUAGGAGCUCAUGACGGUACCGUAAGAAUAAGCACCGGCUAACUACGUAGCCAGCAGCCGCGGU